ACUUCUGGUCGUCACGCCAAACACAUAAUGGAGAUCCAUCCAUGCAAAGCGCCGCCGUCGACCCUCCUACUAGACUCCCAUGUAUGUGUGACGGCGCGGCGCUCAUCACCGCCCCUACCUAGCGGCGGCGACAUCCAUUCUAUGAGUAUGGAUCCAGCAACUUCCGAUAAAGCACCAAAUCAAUCUCCCCGUACCCUUGCAGAGAUGGAACCUAGGCUCGGUUGUGAAUUUUCAUUGCAAACCAAUGGUGCCAAUAAUAGACAACCAGAAAUCAAUCUCCCUCCAGUCAUCCAGGAUAGCUUCAGCACACCCAAGAAAGGAGCUAGCAGCGGG
RNAcentral lists this ribosomal RNA (333 nucleotides) under Triticum aestivum (bread wheat). RNAcentral describes it as "partial small subunit ribosomal RNA". The record is from RNAcentral. Lineage: Eukaryota; Viridiplantae; Streptophyta; Magnoliopsida; Poales; Poaceae.